This 393-nucleotide ribosomal RNA is filed under the name uncultured bacterium. Its description in RNAcentral is "partial 16S ribosomal RNA". It matches the Rfam family "Bacterial small subunit ribosomal RNA", at positions 523 to 918 of the family's 1533-position model. The record is from RNAcentral.
AUACGGAAGGUCCGGGCGUUAUCCGGAUUUAUUGGGUUUAAAGGGAGCGCAGGCGGAGAUGCAAGCGUGACGUCAAAUUUCGGGGCUCAACCCCGUCUCGCGUCGCGAACUGCGUCCCUUGGUUGCGGGAAGGGGAGGCGGAACUCGUGGUGUAGCGGUGGAAUGCAUAGAUAUCACGAAGAACUCCGAUCGCGAAGGCAGCCUUCCGGCCCGUCAACGACGCUCAUGCUCGAAGGUGCGGGUAUCAAACAGGAUUAGAUACCCUGGUAGUCCGCACAGUAAACGAUGGACACCCGCGGUUUGGCCUAUAUGGCUGAGCCGCCAAGCGAAAGCGUUAAGUGUCCCACCUGGGGAGUACGCCGGCAACGGUGAAACUCAAAGGAAUUGGCGGGG